Molecule: ribosomal RNA, 692 nt
Filed under: uncultured bacterium
Lineage: Bacteria
Description: bacterial SSU rRNA
Rfam family: Bacterial small subunit ribosomal RNA
Source: RNAcentral
GAAGUUAGCGGCGGACGGGUGAGUAACACGUGGGUAACCUGCCCAUAAGACCGGGAUAACUCCGGGAAACCGGGGCUAAUACCGGAUAACAUUUUGAACUGCAUGGUUCGAAAUUGAAAGGCGGCUUCGGCUGUCGCUUAUGGAUGGACCCGCGUCGCAUUAGCUAGUUGGUGAGGUAACGGCUCACCAAGGCAACGAUGCGUAGCCGACCUGAGAGGGUGAUCGGCCACACUGGGACUGAGACACGGCCCAGACUCCUACGGGAGGCAGCAGUAGGGAAUCUUCCGCAAUGGACGAAAGUCUGACGGAGCAACGCCGCGUGAGUGAUGAAGGCUUUCGGGUCGUAAAACUCUGUUGUUAGGGAAGAACAAGUGCUAGUUGAAUAAGCUGGCACCUUGACGGUACCUAACCAGAAAGCCACGGCUAACUACGUGCCAGCAGCCGCGGUAAUACGUAGGUGGCAAGCGUUAUCCGGAAUUAUUGGGCGUAAAGCGCGCGCAGGUGGUUUCUUAAGUCUGAUGUGAAAGCCCACGGCUCAACCGUGGAGGGUCAUUGGAAACUGGGAGACUUGAGUGCAGAAGAGGAAAGUGGAAUUCCAUGUGUAGCGGUGAAAUGCGUAGAGAUAUGGAGGAACACCCCAGUGGCGAAGGCGACCUUUCUGGUCUGUAANCUACCACUAGGCCGCNAAGCAG